UGCCCAGCAACUCCUAUCCCUACCUCUUCGUGAUACUGGCCUGGGUACGAGUAACCUUAGGAAAAAACGGGAAUCUAUCCAGUGGGAGCUUUGGUCGUAUGCUGACAAGGAAGG
RNAcentral lists this ribozyme (114 nucleotides) under Aedes aegypti (yellow fever mosquito). RNAcentral describes it as "drz-agam-1 ribozyme". It matches the Rfam family "drz-agam-1 ribozyme". Lineage: Eukaryota; Metazoa; Arthropoda; Insecta; Diptera; Culicidae. The record is from Rfam by way of RNAcentral.